This 111-nucleotide non-coding RNA is filed under the name Oxalobacteraceae bacterium IMCC9480. RNAcentral's name for it is "ZMP/ZTP riboswitch aptamer (pfl RNA motif)". It matches the Rfam family "ZMP/ZTP riboswitch aptamer (pfl RNA motif)". Rfam says of the family: Previously known as pfl RNA. ZMP is also known as AICAR. The record is from Rfam by way of RNAcentral. Lineage: Bacteria; Pseudomonadati; Pseudomonadota; Betaproteobacteria; Burkholderiales; Oxalobacteraceae. RNAcentral also lists the same sequence under 1 other name.
UUCUACUCACGUGACUGGCGAAAAGUCGGCUUCCACCAAGGAGGCGGGCGAUAAGGUGGAUACCACCGGGGAACGUGAGUUUUUCAUCAGCCGUUCGCCUGGGCAGCCCAA